This 506-nucleotide ribosomal RNA is filed under the name uncultured bacterium. RNAcentral describes it as "partial 16S ribosomal RNA". It matches the Rfam family "Bacterial small subunit ribosomal RNA", at positions 30 to 523 of the family's 1533-position model. The record is from RNAcentral.
AUUGAACGCUGGCGGCAGGCCUAACACAUGCAAGUCGAACGGUAACAGGAAACAGCUUGCUGUUUCGCUGACGAGUGGCGGACGGGUGAGUAAUGUCUGGGAAACUGCCUGAGGGAGGGGGAUAACUCCUGGAAACGGUAGCUAAUACCGCAUAACGUCGCAAGACCAAAGAGGGGGACCUUCGGGCCUCGUGCCAUCGGAUGUGCCCAGAUGGGAUUAGCUAGUAGGUGGGGUAACGGCUCACCUAGGCGACGAUCCCUAGCUGGUCUGAGAGGAUGACCAGCCACACUGGAACUGAGACACGGUCCAGACUCCUACGGGAGGCAGCAGUGGGGAAUAUUGCACAAUGGGCGCAAGCCUGAUGCAGCCAUGCCGCGUGUAUGAAGAAGGCCUUCGGGUUGUAAAGUACUUUCAGCGGGGAGGAAGGGAGUAAAGUUAAUACCUUUGCUCAUUGACGUUACCCGCAGAGGAAGCACCGGCUAACUCCGUGCCAGCAGCCGCAGUAA